RNAcentral lists this transfer RNA (85 nucleotides) under Alcaligenaceae bacterium. RNAcentral's name for it is "tRNA-Leu". It matches the Rfam family "tRNA". From Rfam's summary of the family: Transfer RNA (tRNA) molecules are approximately 80 nucleotides in length. Their secondary structure includes four short double-helical elements and three loops (D, anti-codon, and T loops). The record is from RNAcentral. Lineage: Bacteria; Pseudomonadati; Pseudomonadota; Betaproteobacteria; Burkholderiales; Alcaligenaceae.
GCCUGGGUGGUGGAAUUGGUAGACACAGGGGAUUCAAAAUCCCCCGCAGUAAUGCGUGCGGGUUCAAGUCCCGCCCUAGGCACCA